GGGGCUGUGGUGGAAUGGCAGACACGCUAGAUUCAGGUUCUAGUGAGAAUUAAUCUCAUGUGAGUUCGACUCUCAUCAGCCCCACCA
RNAcentral lists this transfer RNA (87 nucleotides) under Candidatus Hippobium faecium. RNAcentral's name for it is "tRNA-Leu". It matches the Rfam family "tRNA". Rfam says of the family: Transfer RNA (tRNA) molecules are approximately 80 nucleotides in length. Their secondary structure includes four short double-helical elements and three loops (D, anti-codon, and T loops). The record is from RNAcentral. Lineage: Bacteria; Bacillati; Armatimonadota.